UAUCACUGGAACCUGAGAGGUUGGAAAAGC
RNAcentral lists this non-coding RNA (30 nucleotides) under Mus musculus (house mouse). The record is from RNAcentral. Lineage: Eukaryota; Metazoa; Chordata; Mammalia; Rodentia; Muridae.